RNAcentral lists this ribosomal RNA (324 nucleotides) under uncultured eukaryote. RNAcentral describes it as "partial 18S ribosomal RNA". It matches the Rfam family "Eukaryotic small subunit ribosomal RNA", at positions 1470 to 1796 of the family's 1831-position model. The record is from RNAcentral.
CCCUUAGAUGUUCUGGGCUGCACGCGCGCUACACUGAUGCGAUCAACAGGUUUUUCCUAUGUCGAUAGACACGGGUAAUCUUUUGAACUCGCAUCGUGAUGGGGAUAGAUUAUUGUAAUUAUUAAUCUUCAACGAGGAAUUCCUAGUAGGUGCAAAUCAUCAGUUUGCAUCGAUUACGUCCCUGCCCUUUGUACACACCGCCCGUCGCUGCUACCGAUUGGUUGAUCUGGUGAAUUAUUCGGACUGCCGGCUGAAGGGGUUUCCUCAUCUGCCAGCGGAAAGUCUUGUUAACCCUAUCAACUAGAGGAAGCAGAAGUCGUAACA